UUAGAAUUACAAUCAAUGAGAAUUUGUUUAGUCUUGUUUGCAUUGCUUUUCACUUUCAGUUUGUGUCCACUUCCAGGAGCCAUUUAUAAAACCUGUAAGAAAAAAAAAAGUUAGAUUAAAAUUAUUAGAAUUGGAUUAACUAAUAAUAAAGAUAAGUUGCUUGUAUAAUUAUACAUAACAUUCUAGUGAGCAUUAAGAUGAAAAAAAUAUCAUAGCAGGGAGUGGGAAGCUGCGUGUUUCAAUUGGUCAAAGCAAGCUUAUUGCCAAAGCGGCUAAUAAGAAGAACAAAGAAAAGCAUUAUGUAAGCAAUAAUAGUGUUACAUAAACUUUCAACAGAUGAUGUGGGCUCUGGAAUAUGACCCAGAUUUGUGCUCUGUGUAUGAGGAUGACUCUGACGCACCUACUGAAAAAUUCGAUGGAUCUAAAGCAAAGACAAAAUCAACACGCCAAUGUGGCAAAUAUGAAAGGGAAAACAUGAAAAGUAGAGGCAAAGGUGGUGAAGUUGCACUCCCCAUUUAUGUUUUCUUAGUAGCUAGUGUCCUGAAGGAUAAGAGCUCAAAAUUACUAGCAAAAGCUCAUGGAUUGGAUGAUGUUGUCAAGGUCAGCUUGAUAAGUUCAUAAAAUUUAAUUAUAUAGAAACAUCCACUUCAAAAGUUAUUUUUAGUUGGGUAGACACAUGUUCAAUAAGGCGGUUUAAACUUUACAGUUUGUUUUACUUGCAUGCUUGUUGGUUUUAUGAGAUACACUGCACCAUCGUCACAAUGAGUUAGUUUCUUGAGGUGCAUGUUUGUUAAUUGAAAAAUUAAUUUAUUGAGGUGCGUGAUUUUUAGGUCUAAGAGAAUAUAUACAAUGUAUCCAGUAGCUACCUAACUGUUUCCUUGAAAACUACAAUCAGAAUAAAUUCACAAAGAUGCCCUACAUAUAAAAUCCUGAUCAUGGCCCUGAUAUUGAAAUACCAUGUAUGUCUAGGACUAAAAGUUAUGCAAUAAUAAAAAGUUAGCACAUCCCAUGAAAUUUUUUUUCCCACAAAAAUGAAGGGCCAUACAUGAAGUGAUAUACUAUAACCUGCUACAGUUCUCAAGUUUACCAAACUGUAUGGCAGGUUAGUUGUUUGCCUGGUUUCUUGAAAACUCUUACAAAAUGAACAAGUAAUCAACCAAAUAAUGUUUUGAACUUCAUAGAUGUAAUUUAAGGUCAUUGGUCAAAUAGUAACUUCUUUCACAAAAGAUUUCUGGACUAUAAAUAGUUUGGAAUACAAUGAACCAAAUAUCAAGCAAAAUGGGAGCUUGGGUAUACUUCCUAAAACUUUUGAUGGAUAUAAGACUUCCGAUACCAUUUAAAAAUAGGGAACAAGAAACAUCAAAUGAUGCACACCACAUAAUAAUAAAGAAUAGAUGCCAUUUGAUUAAACAUAAUGGUUGUUCAUGACAUGGUCAUAUCAGACAACCAUCAUUGUAAAUUACUGACUUUACCAUAAAUCUUGUAAAUGCUAAUACCCAAGAAACAACAAGUAUAAAUAUUAACAUUUAUAUGAACUACGUUAUAAUUGUAGUGUGCGUAUAUGUGCACAGUCCAAUUUUAUUUGGCAAAUAAUUUUUCUUCUUUGAUGUCUUUACCACCUUGUAAACCUUCAUACAAUAUACCAUAAGCUAAACCUUUCAGACAACUUCUCUCCGAUGUCUUGACCCACCUUGUGAAAGGUUAAAAUCAGUUCAUACAAUAUGUCAUAUGCUAAACCUUUCAGCUCUAAAAGCCAGUCAAAGAAACUUGCAUUUGUAUAAUCAGAAUCUAUAUUUACACCAAAAAGUAAUCUUUAUUAAACAUUUACGAGCAGUCCUUAUUAAACAUCACAACUAAUUUAUAAAUCGCCUUGGUUCUAUCUAAUAUUUGGUCUUUAACCAAAAUAGUCCAUAGAGGACUUUUGACAAACACCAUGUAUGCACUAUUUUAAAUCACCAUUCUCAUAGCCUUUAUUUAUGUUAUCAAUCCAUUUUAGCCUCCUUAUAUCACCACACAACCAAUCUAUCUCAUUUAUUCUAUUUCAAUUCAUAGCAAUUCAAUUAUAGCUCAAUUGCAAAAAGUAUAAGAACUUGGUCUCUUACACAAACAAAUACACAUAUACCUACAUGUGUCUGUAUAUAUGAAUAAUUACAGCAACUAAUGGAAUAUGGAUGAACAAAAAAAUACCUUCGAAAAAAUUGACGGGUCUUUGGGUCUUCGAAUUUAGGGCUUCUGCAAUUGGGACAGAAGGAGAAAUUUUGAAGAUGCAAAAAUGAAGUUUGGGGUAAAAUUUUGGGAUUAAUGAUAAUCCCUUCACCCAUAGGAAACAUUAUCCACACAAUCAAAUCUCAA
Molecule: long non-coding RNA, 2352 nt
Filed under: Panax ginseng (ginseng)
Lineage: Eukaryota; Viridiplantae; Streptophyta; Magnoliopsida; Apiales; Araliaceae
Description: long non-coding RNA (PGIN_LNC013505)
Source: RNAcentral